This 1253-nucleotide unclassified non-coding RNA is filed under the name Hevea brasiliensis (rubber tree). Lineage: Eukaryota; Viridiplantae; Streptophyta; Magnoliopsida; Malpighiales; Euphorbiaceae. The record is from RNAcentral.
GUCUGCUCCUCUUCCUCUCUCUCUGUGUGUGUGCGUGUGAACCCUGACGAUCAAAAUUACAUUUUGAUUUGCAUUCUAUAGUUCCCCGAAACCCUAUCAGAUGGCUACGUCACUAAUCAACAAAACCCUCAAUUCAAUCAAAACCCCUAAUUUCCUCACUCCACUCUCAUCAUCCCUCACUCGCCACUUUACCUCCGUCGCCACCGCCCAACAACACUCGCAGUCCGAUGGCCCAUCUUCCUCCUUCACCUUCACCGACAACACUAACGCCUCCGGUGAUAGCAUAUUAGUCAAGGCACCCAAUUCGAAUGGGAAACGUGAUUCGGCGUCGUCGUCUUCAGUAACAAUGCCAAUGGCGUUUAUGACUGGAUCGAUUGUGGGCAAGAGGUUUUACAAGCAAGUGACUACGAGAGAGGCGGAUGAUGGGAAUGGAUGGACGGUGAUGCUUGAUUAUAGGACGCUUAAGACUCCUUCUAAAAGGCCACUGAAAUUGCCCUCUUUAGCCCUCGCUAAGGCCAUUGCUGCUGAAUGGGAGUAUCAGCAAACAGAUGGGAUCAGGCCUUUUACAAUGCCUCUCAUGAAACUUGCGUGUACUGCACUGGAGAGAGUUCCACUCACGCGACCAAAAAUUAUAGAACACUUGAUGAAGAAAUUUAAUCAAGAUUUAGUUUUCUGUCGUGCCCCAGAGGAUAAUGCUCUCACCAGUGGUGUCUAUGAGCUACAAGUGGAGAAAAUUGAUCCCUUGCUUGAUUGGGUGAAAUCCGAAUUUGGCUUUAAGCCUGUUGUGUACUCGAGUUUUUUUGGUGGCCAGCAGGAGGAGGGUCUGGUGAAGGCAUUAGAAGAUCUUUUGAAGAAAACGGACAACUGUGAAUUGGCAUCAAUUGAUGCAAUUGCAUCAGCAGCCCAUUCCUUGGUAAUUGCUAUUGGAAUCUUUCGUGGAAAAUUGAAUAUUGAGGAAGCCAUUGAGUUGAUCAGACUUGAAGAAGAUUUGCAGGUUGACAAGUGGGGCUUAGUUGAAGGUGGUCAUGAUGUAGAUAUCGCUGAUCUGAGGGUACAGAUAUCAUCUGCAACUGUGUUCCUUGGUCUUUCGAGGAUUUGAGCUCUGUGUGUGGCAUUUUGCUCAUAAUGUUCAACCUAAAUUCUAGCUUUAAUGCUUGUUUGUUUUUUAAGAUGUAGAUCGUAGAAUAUAUGUAAUGCCUGAGGUUUUGUCAGAAUUGUAGUUAAUUGCUAAGAUAAAGUAUCAUAAAAGACAA